UAUUCUUUUGUCCUCUUUUCUAUUCAUAGGCCAAAAUGGAUUCUGUACUGAAAAUCUAUCCCAGGCAAAGAAAUUUUCUAGGAAAAGUUGGAAAAAUUCAAUUUUUCGCUUCAGAUUGAAAUCGAAUAAGGUUUGAUUCAAUUAAUCGAAAAGAUGAAAUUUAAAAGGUAUGCUGAAUUAUAUGCGGCCAGUGAAGAAAUUUAAAGAAGCACAUUUUGGUAGCAAAUGGACAAAUUAUGAAGUUUAAAAAGUAAAUUGAAGUUGCAAUUGUCGACCCAUCAAAGUGAACAACAGCAUGCAAAGUGAUCAAACAACGUAUUUCUUUUAAGUUAUAGUGAUUGAAUGAUAUACUAAUAGAUAAAUAUUUCCAUAUAACAAUUUCUAUGUAUUGAAUAAAUUCACAGUUUUGAAACAAAU
Long non-coding RNA from Argiope bruennichi, 417 nucleotides. RefSeq lists it as uncharacterized. The record is from RefSeq and is a predicted model, not a curated record. NCBI's taxonomy places the organism in Eukaryota, Metazoa, Arthropoda, Arachnida, Araneae, Araneidae. The transcript has 3 exons.